AGGCCGCGACGGUGGUUGCCGCCUAUGGAGAAUCAUGCGAAAAUAAACACGGUUGCAGCAGUCGGGGGCCGGGGACGCUUUGGUGCAGUUGCAGCAAUCUGGCGAGAUGGAGAGGGAACAUUUGAAGGUGCGUCGGCAGUUGUAUACAGGACAAUUGGAGACCCAGCUACGCUUGAAGCCUUAGCCAUCAGAGAGGCCCUCUCCCUCGCUGAUGAUCUAUACCUCCAGAGAAUUCACGUGGCUUUGGAUUGCAGGGAAGCAGUGGAGGAGAUUUCCAGCGGUGGUGCUUCGAUCUAUGGUGCAGUUAUACAAGAGAUCAAGUUGCAUGCAUUGUCUUUUAUUUCUUGUAAGAUACUCCAUGAGUUUAGGAGCUCAAACUUUGAUGCUCACAACCUUGCGAAAUAUGCGUUGGGUCUCGGGCCUGGCCGCCAUGUUUGGUUAGGCCAGCCCGAGGGUAUUCCCUUCGUCCAUGUAAACAUCGUGACGGAUGAAUAA
Molecule: ribosomal RNA, 495 nt
Filed under: Triticum aestivum (bread wheat)
Lineage: Eukaryota; Viridiplantae; Streptophyta; Magnoliopsida; Poales; Poaceae
Description: partial small subunit ribosomal RNA
Source: RNAcentral